AAGUCAGUAACAAGGUUUCCGUAGGUAGAACCUGCGAAGGAUCAUUACCUUUCUGGCUGAUUUAAUUAGACUUUGUCUGGGGGACUGCAGUUUCUGCAGUCUCCAUGACUACAGUCCGUGGUUUUUUGCGUACUAUAUGUUUCCUCGGCGGGCUUGCUUGCCGGUUGGGCAAACUAAAACUCUUUGCAAUUGCAAUCAGCGUCUGAAUUAUAUAAUAAUUACAA
This 224-nucleotide unclassified non-coding RNA is filed under the name plant metagenome. RNAcentral's name for it is "partial contains small subunit ribosomal RNA and internal transcribed spacer 1". The record is from RNAcentral.